RNAcentral lists this ribosomal RNA (467 nucleotides) under uncultured bacterium. RNAcentral describes it as "partial 16S ribosomal RNA". It matches the Rfam family "Bacterial small subunit ribosomal RNA", at positions 29 to 507 of the family's 1533-position model. The record is from RNAcentral.
ACGAACGCUGGCGGCGUGCUUAACACAUGCAAGUCGCACGGAAAGGCCCUGCUUUUGUGGGGUGCUCGAGUGGCGAACGGGUGAGUAACACGUGAGUAACCUGCCCUUGACUUUGGGAUAACUUCAGGAAACUGGGGCUAAUACCGGAUAGGAGCUCCUGCUGCAUGGUGGGGGUUGGAAAGUUUCGGCGGUUGGGGAUGGACUCGCGGCUUAUCAGCUUGUUGGUGGGGUAGUGGCUUACCAAGGCUUUGACGGGUAGCCGGCCUGAGAGGGUGACCGGCCACAUUGGGACUGAGAUACGGCCCAGACUCCUACGGGAGGCAGCAGUGGGGAAUAUUGCACAAUGGGCGGAAGCCUGAUGCAGCAACGCCGCGUGCGGGAUGAUGGCCUUCGGGUUGUAAACCGCUUUCGCCUGUGACGAAGCGUGAGUGACGGUAAUGGGUAAAGAAGCACCGGCUAACUACGUG